UACGUAGGGGGCAAGCGUUGUCCGGAUUUAUUGGGCGUAAAGAGCGUGUAGGCGGCCUUACAGGUCAGCUGUGAAAACUCGAGGCUCAACCUCGAGACGUCGGUUGAAACCGUAAGGCUAGAGUCCGGAAGAGGAGAGUGGAAUUCCCGGUGUAGCGGUGAAAUGCGCAGAUAUCGGGAAGAACACCCGUGGCGAAGGCGGCUCUCUGGGACAGUACUGACGCUGAGACGCGAAAGCGUGGGGAGCGAACAGG
This 253-nucleotide ribosomal RNA is filed under the name uncultured bacterium. Its description in RNAcentral is "partial 16S ribosomal RNA". It matches the Rfam family "Bacterial small subunit ribosomal RNA", at positions 524 to 776 of the family's 1533-position model. The record is from RNAcentral.